Molecule: ribosomal RNA, 496 nt
Filed under: uncultured bacterium
Lineage: Bacteria
Description: bacterial SSU rRNA
Rfam family: Bacterial small subunit ribosomal RNA
Source: RNAcentral
ACUCAAAUGAAUAGACGGGGGCCCGCACAAGCAGUGGAGUAUGUGGUUUAAUUCGAAGCAACGCGAAGAACCUUACCAGGGCUUGACAUACCCUUGACCGGCAUAGAGAUAUGCCUUCUCUUCGGAGCAAGGGAUACAGGUGGUGCAUGGUUGUCGUCAGCUCGUGUCGUGAGAUGUUGGGUUAAGUCCCGCAACGAGCGCAACCCCUGUUGUUAGUUGCCAGCAUUCAGUUGGGCACUCUAACGAGACUGCCGGUGAUAAAUCGGAGGAAGGUGGGGACGACGUCAAAUCAUCAUGCCCCUUAUGUCCUGGGCUACACACGUACUACAAUGGCGAUAACAGAGGGAAGCAAGACAGUGAUGUGGAGCAAAUCCCCAAAAGUCGCCCCAGUUCAGAUUGCAGGCUGCAACUCGCCUGCAUGAAGUCGGAAUUGCUAGUAAUGGCAGGUCAGCAUACUGCCGUGAAUACGUUCCCGGGCCUUGUACACACCGCCCGU